RNAcentral lists this long non-coding RNA (511 nucleotides) under Prunus persica (peach). RNAcentral describes it as "long non-coding RNA (PPER_LNC008360)". The record is from RNAcentral. Lineage: Eukaryota; Viridiplantae; Streptophyta; Magnoliopsida; Rosales; Rosaceae.
AAAGUUUUAUGUUCGAAUUCUCCUUUUUGACCAAUUUAAAAAGAAAAAUGCUUCAAUUAAUGGUCCGAGAUAGGAGUGGCUCUCUUAAAAAUAUACAAUUUUUUUUUUCGUUCAUGUGUAGUUCUUGUUUUUGAAGAUGAAGAUUUGAGUAUAAUUUUGUAAACCAAAAUAGUACUCUUUUUUUCUUUUUUUUUUCCGUGAGUUUGACCAAGGACAAAUACAUGUUAAAAUCAAACAAACAAAGCAUGCAUCCAUCGCCUACAAAUAUGUACAAAAUGAAUGUAGUUACACAAAAUAUGUAAGAACAAGAGAUGAAAUUGUUUAUUUUAAAUUUCUAAUAUAUAAUUUAACAUAAUUAAUCUCAAGAGAUUAAGAUUAGUGGACGGAUUGCCCAUAAGAUGUGGAGCGGUGGUCCUGUUUCUUAGUUUUAUUUUAUUCUAAUAAUUUUCAAAAACGCUUUAGGAGUUUGAUGUGAUUUUCUAUUUAUGAUUUUUAUUUAUUUUUAGCUUUC